This 465-nucleotide ribosomal RNA is filed under the name Vreelandella stevensii. RNAcentral's name for it is "partial 16S ribosomal RNA". It matches the Rfam family "Bacterial small subunit ribosomal RNA", at positions 338 to 795 of the family's 1533-position model. The record is from RNAcentral. Lineage: Bacteria; Pseudomonadati; Pseudomonadota; Gammaproteobacteria; Oceanospirillales; Halomonadaceae.
CCUACGGGUGGCUGCAGUGGGGAAUAGUGGACAAUGGGGGGAACCCUGAUCCAGCCAUGCCGCGUGUGUGAAGAAGGCCCUCGGGUUGGAAAGCACUUUCAGUGAGGAAGAACGCCUGGUGGUUAAUACCCAUCAGGAAAGACAUCACUCACAGAAGAAGCACCGGCUAACUCCGUGCCAGCAGCCGCGGUAAUACGGAGGGUGCGAGCGUUAAUCGGAAUUACUGGGCGUAAAGCGCGCGUAGGUGGCUUGAUAAGCCGGUUGUGAAAGCCCCGGGCUCAACCUGGGAACGGCAUCCGGAACUGUCAAGCUAGAGUGCAGGAGAGGAAGGUAGAAUUCCCGGUGUAGCGGUGUAAUGCGUAGAGAUCGGGAGGAAUACCAGUGGCGAAGGCGGCCUUCUGGACUGACACUGACACUGAGGUGCGAAAGCGUGGGUAGCAAACAGGAUUAGAUACCCUUGUAGUC